RNAcentral lists this long non-coding RNA (432 nucleotides) under Androctonus crassicauda. The record is from RNAcentral. Lineage: Eukaryota; Metazoa; Arthropoda; Arachnida; Scorpiones; Buthidae.
AAAUAAUCAAUGUAUCUAUUCACAACUGCUGAGUGUGCUCACUUGAUUCAUAUUACUAAUAUUUAUAGAUUAAGACCAUUUAUAAAUUAUCUUAAUCAGAGAUGAAGGAAAAUUAUUAUAUAAUGAUCCUGCCAACUGUGAGGGUUAUGUUCCUGCAAAACAUCACCAGCAAUGGAAGGCGUGAUGAUGGUGCUGCACACUAUCAUGCCUACUGUUUGACUUGUAUGAUGCUUUACAGUGCAUGCUGGAAGAUUGCAGUCGUCAUGAUAUUUUCUAAUGCCUGUGUGUCCAUCAGUGUAAUGCAGUUAAAGCAGGACUAAUCUAAAAAUAUGAUAUAUUGCCAAUCAUAACAUUAGUAAGAGCAUCACAAAAGAUGCUUAGAACAAUAAUUAUUUGUUCUUUGAAUUUUAUUGAGGUUUUGCUGGAUUUCAC